RNAcentral lists this ribosomal RNA (253 nucleotides) under uncultured bacterium. RNAcentral describes it as "partial 16S ribosomal RNA". It matches the Rfam family "Bacterial small subunit ribosomal RNA", at positions 524 to 776 of the family's 1533-position model. The record is from RNAcentral.
UACGUAGGGGGCAAGCGUUGUCCGGAAUUAUUGGGCGUAAAGAGCGUGUAGGCGGUCCGGUAAGUCAGCUGUGAAAGUCAAGGGCUCAACCCUUGAAAGCCGGUUGAUACCAUCAGGCUAGAGUCCGGAAGAGGAGAGCGGAAUUCCUGGUGUAGCGGUGAAAUGCGCAGAUAUCAGGAAGAACACCCGUGGCGAAGGCGGCUCUCUGGGACGGUACUGACGCUGAGACGCGAAAGCGUGGGGAGCGAACAGG